This 460-nucleotide ribosomal RNA is filed under the name uncultured bacterium. RNAcentral's name for it is "partial 16S ribosomal RNA". It matches the Rfam family "Bacterial small subunit ribosomal RNA", at positions 338 to 795 of the family's 1533-position model. The record is from RNAcentral.
CCUACGGGAGGCAGCAGUGAGGAAUAUUGGUCAAUGGCCGUAAGGCUGAACCAGCCAAGUCGCGUGAAGGAAGACGGAUCUAUGGUUUGUAACCUUCUUUUAUAGGGGAAUAAAGGUAUCCACGUGUGGAUAUUUGCAUGUACCCUAUGAAUAAGCAUCGGCUAACUACGUGCCAGCAGACGCGGUAAUAAGGAGGAUGCGAGCGUUAUCCGGAUUUAGUGGGUUUAAAGGGUGCGUAGGUUGUUUUUUAAGUCAGCGGUGAAAGUUUGUGGCUCAACCAUAAAAUUGCCGUUGAAACUGGAAGACUUGAGUGGUGUUGAGGUAGGCGGAAGUCGUGGUGUAGCGGUGAAAUGCUUAGAUAUCACGAAGAACUCCGAUUGCGAAGGCAGCCUACUAAACUGCCACUGACAUUGAUGCUCGAAAGUGGGGGUAUCAAACAGGAGUAGAUACCCCUGUAGUC